AGAGUUUGAUCCUGGCUCAGGACGAACGCUGGCGGCGUGGAUAAGACAUGCAAGUCGAACGACUAUUUCAGGGUAGCAAUAUUCUGGAGUGGGAGUGGCGCAAGGGUGCGUAACACGUGGGCACUCUGCCGUGAAGUUUGGGAUAACUCGCUGAAAGGCGAGCUAAUACCGGAUGUGACAAUUGGGAGGCAUCUUCUGAUUGUUAAAGUUGGGGACCGUAAGGCCUGACGCUUCAUGAUGAGCCCGCGGCCUAUCAGCUAGUUGGUGAGGUAACGGCUCACCAAGGCUAAGACGGGUAGCUGGUCUGAGAGGACGACCAGCCACACUGGAACUGAGACACGGUCCAGACACCUACGGGUGGCAGCAGUCGAGAAUUUUUCACAAUGGGCGCAAGCCUGAUGGAGCGACGCCGCGUGGGGGAUGAAUGGCUUCGGCCCGUAAACCCCUGUCAUUUGCGAUCAAACCUUGGUAUUUAAAAGAUGCCGAGCUGAUAGUAGCGAAAGAGGAAGGGACGGCUAACUCUGUGCCAGCAGCCGCGGUAAUACAGAGGUCCCGAGCGUUGUUCGGAUUCACUGGGCGUAAAGGGUGCGUAGGUGGUGACGUAAGUCGGAUGUGAAAUCUCGGAGCUCAACUCCGAAACGGCAUUGGAAACUGCGUUGCUAGAGGGUUGGAGGGGGGACUGGAAUGCUUGGUGUAGCAGUGAAAUGCGUAGAUAUCAAGCGGAACACCAGUGGCGAAGGCGAGUCCCUGGACAACACCUGACACUGAGGCACGAAAGCUAGGGGAGCAAACAGGAUUAGAUACCCCCGUAGUCC
This 815-nucleotide ribosomal RNA is filed under the name uncultured bacterium. RNAcentral describes it as "bacterial SSU rRNA". It matches the Rfam family "Bacterial small subunit ribosomal RNA", at positions 8 to 796 of the family's 1533-position model. The record is from RNAcentral.